AUUAAACGCUGGCGGCAUGCCUUACACAUGCAAGUCGAACGGUAGCGCGGGGCAACCUGGCGACGAGUGGCGAACGGGUGAGUAAAGCAUCGGAACGUGCCCUGGAAUGGGGGAUAACGUAGCGAAAGUUACGCUAAUACCGCAUAUUCUGUGAGCAGGAAAGCAGGGGAUCGCAAGACCUUGCGUUCUGGGAGCGGCCGAUGUCGGAUUAGCUAGUUGGUGGGGUAAAAGCCUACCAAGGCGACGAUCCGUAGCGGGUCUGAGAGGAUGAUCCGCCACACUGGGACUGAGACACGGCCCAGACUCCUACGGGAGGCAGCAGUGGGGAAUUUUGGACAAUGGGCGGAAGCCUGAUCCAGCCAUGCCGCGUGAGUGAAGAAGGCCUCGGUUGUAA
This 394-nucleotide ribosomal RNA is filed under the name uncultured bacterium. RNAcentral's name for it is "bacterial SSU rRNA". It matches the Rfam family "Bacterial small subunit ribosomal RNA", at positions 29 to 428 of the family's 1533-position model. The record is from RNAcentral.